Prosopis cineraria is the source of this 3357-nucleotide RNA transcript. It is a transcript of the gene named protein ZW2-like, with no coding region annotated. The transcript is spliced from 2 exons. The record is from RefSeq and is a predicted model, not a curated record. Lineage: Eukaryota; Viridiplantae; Streptophyta; Magnoliopsida; Fabales; Fabaceae.
UUCUCUUCCCAAACCACAUCCUCUGUACCCGCGCGUUCAAAUUCUUAAUUAUUAACGCUAAGCUCGAGCAUGGUUGGUAGAUUUAGCUAUCAAGAAAUUCGUCGAGAAGUGAGACGGAGUCUGUGGCUGUGCUGCCGAGGAACGAUGAGCUUCAGUUCAUCGGUAAAUCGCGUAAUGUAGCAGCAACUGUAAAUGCUUAUUGGAAAUCUGCGCCGGAGCUCUGUGAUUUCAUCAGUGUAAGGAUAAUUCAACUUCGAGUUAAUUGAAGUGUCAGUAUGGGUUUUACUGUGGAUAGGUAAAAUUGAGGGAUUGAAAUGGAAGUAGCUUUGAACCAAAAUGCAGUUUGCUCGGUGUAAGAGAAGGUAUAUCUCUUAAUUCUUUUUCAUGUUUCCAUUUGUUUAGGUAAAAGCAUACGUAAUCGUUCAGAAAUUUGUUCUAUAUAACCACGAAUUGGGUCCGUGUAUUAAAAUCUUGCCCGUCCAAUGCACGGGAUUAAAUCUAGUUUUGCAUAAAUUUAAGAAUGUUUUUAAACUUGGAUUGUUUGUUUGCCUAUUCUUGCACUUUAAACCUGUGCAACAAAGUAGGUAAAGGUGAAAAAAGUAUAUUGGGGUUUACUCUGUGUAUAGCUUUUUUUUUUUUUUUUUUGGCCAACAAGUUUUUGCUUGUUUAGCGUAUAUAACUUGAAUGAUAGACACUGGGAAGUUGGAAUCUCCAUGAUGAACAAUGCCCUUGAACCCUACAAAGCUACGCUUUCAAGUAUUGAUUUAAAAAUAAAAAGAGAAAUUUUUAGACAUUAAGUAAUGCUAAAACUUUAUGAAAUAUACAUGAAUUUUUUUUUUAAAUCAUCAUAGUUGUACGAUCAUCACCGAUUAUAUACAUUGAUAUGUGUAACAAAUUGUCCACUCACUUCUAAAUGAGUAGGCAAAUCCCAUACACACCUACAAAAACACAAGGAAAUGACUACAUAUAAAGGCACAUAAUAACACAAUUUUACAGAUUAACUGCAUCUGAAUUUUGACAAAUACUACGCAAGGAGUACUUAUUUUGUCUGACUCAUAAUCAUGGCAAAACAAAAACAAAAAUAUGGACCUGUAAUACUCGAAUCAAUCGUCUUCAAAAACUUCAUAAGAAUCCGAAUUCAAAUCCGAGUCAAAAUUCAUUAAAAAAAAAAAAUUAACCGUGAAUCUUUCUUCGACGACAUCUUGACGGUGGAGAGCAUCCAGGAUGAAAUGGUUGAGGGUGGAGUAGUGGAGACUGGUUUUUCAUACAUCCAAUCAAAGAAUGUCCAGUUUUCUUGCACAGAUCUUCACCUAUAUCCGAUGCCUCAACCUGUUGCUUCAUAUUUGAAUGCAAUAUGGUGGUCAUUAGAACGAAGAAAAUGAACCAGGUAGUAUUCUUCAUGGUAGAGAUAUAUGAAAUCUGCUUGAUUUGUUAGUUUUUGAGCAAUGUUAGGAAUCAACAGUAAAUUGGCCUGCAAUUUAUGUCAACCAUGCCUUGCAGUUCAGCCGCUGAAAUUAUGACUUAUUUUUGGUAAUUUGCUAUCUUAGGUUUUCCAUGGAUUUAUUGCCCACUUUCAAUUGUCACUAAAUCUAUAUUAUUCUAUUAAUUCAUGAUCCUUACUUCAUCUUUUUAUAAUUUAGUUCUUCUUACAAUUUUAUUUUUUAAAUAUAAUUUCUUUUAUUAUUAAUAAAUGUGAUGACUAAUAACUGAAGAAAUUUUAUUCUUGUUUUGAUGUGAAAGUUACUAUCUUGACUGCGUUGGGUAAUUUAUUUAUUUUUCCUAUUUAGUCUGUAAUCCAUGCCCUAUGGGUUAAUAGGGUUUUAUGAUCGUUGCCAAGGGUUGAUAUAACCCUCUUCCCUUUUUGUUCUUGGCUUUGGUGGAUGUACAAUGAAAAAACAGGCGGAAUUCCUAUUAAGUCCAAAAAAAGUCUUCUAUUCUCGGGUGAUGCGCUGGCAUUUUUCACUUUGGUAUCAUGUUAUGGCUAAAAGUUGUUUAAAAUUAACAUAGGGUUAAUUAGUCAACAAUUUCGUAUAUUUAAUUGAAUAUUGCCAAGGGGCAGAUUGUUCAUAUAACUAUAUCUUUGAGAUACUUCAAAUCAUUAGCAGUUUUGGUCCUUUCAAAAUCAGGUUAUAUAUGUCAAGGCUAAAAGGCCAGGUGACAAGAAAUCUUUUACGGCCAAUCAAACAAGUUGCGGUUAACUACAGUUGAUAGAGUCACUAUGAUGAUUCCUCAACCAAUCAUUUGGGAUUUUUUAUGGUUAAUUUGUUUGGCAGUGUCGUGUUUGUUGGAUGCUUAAAUCGUCGUUGUUCGUCUGCCACAACUACAUGCAAAUAUAAUGCAAUGAACCCAACGUGUGGGACAGUGUUUGCAAGUGAGAGUCGGAAUUUCUGAUGGCUAUAACUGCAAGUUUACUGUAUGAUAUCCAGAAUUCCAGACAGACAGAGAAAGACAUGAGACAUAGAGAAAAAGGACAGAUAGAAUCAUUUUCAAUUACAGGUAACUGCAUAUUGUGCCUUGGGCGAAAAAGGGAAGUGUGAACGAGUAUGAAAAGAAAAUGCAAACUUCAUACGUUAUUUCAUUUUUCUGUGCUAUUUUUUAUUUAAAUAUAUAAUUGUACGUGAAAGCAUCUUCAUAAGUUUAGGUGAAGUUAAGUUAUAGUAAUAUUAGGAGGGGGUAAUUUGAGACAUGUGCAUGACCUUUAAUGGCUUCCUUCGUUGAUGAACAAGUGUCAACUGUUUCAAAGCAACAGCACCACCUUCAUCACUCUGUCUCAUGCAGUCACAGGGUUCCCCCACUGGCUCCAUAGAUCGGGCCACUCCUUCUACGCCGUCAUCAUUUGUCAUAACACCACCAUUCGGAUUUAUCUUUCCAUUGUGUACAAAAAAAAUUAAAAAAAAAAAGGUGAAAAGAGAGGGGAAGUUGUUAUACAUUAUCUUCUUUUUUUCCACUGAAAAAUUGUUUUAUUUCUGAAAUUCCAUUACAAUGGUCCCUCUACAAUGAAAAUAAAGGGAUUAAACUAAAGAUUUUAGUACAAUCAAGUCAAGAAUCCCAUAAUAGUAGUCUUACAAUAAAAGUGAAAUUUAUUUCUUUUACCUAUCAUGUUAGUUUUUUCCUUUUUUUUUUUUUUUGAAAUGAGCUCUCUUUUUAAAGUUGUAUUUGUCAUAUUGUUAUUUUCAUGGAGAAGUUCAUGUCAUGGAAAAGACUGGCCAUGGAGCUUUAUAAGUCCCACGCCUAUAAAUUUAAGGGAUUUUUUUGCCUAAUAGGGUUAAUUUCAGGGAUGCAUUAUGAAUCACCCUCAGUUUUUUUAAAUAAAAAUGAAUACUUUUUUGUUAUAGUUCAUCACAGUUGAAUAUGUUA